UGCAAGUCGAACGGUAAGGCUUCUUCGGAAGUACACGAGUGGCGCACGGGUGCGUAACACGUAUGCAACCUACCUUUCAGCGGAGAAUAGUCAUUGGAAACGAUGAAUAAUACUCCAUAUGCUCACGGUAUCUCAUGAUAGAGUGAGGAAAGCUCCGGCGCUGAGAGAUGGGCAUGCGUCCCAUUAGCUAGUUGGUGAAGUAACGGUUUACCAAGGCAACGAUGGGUAGCUGGUCUGAGAGGAUGAUCAGUCACACGGGCACUGAGACACGGGCCCGACUCCUACGGGAGGCAGCAGUAAGGAAUAUUGGUCAAUGGGGGCAACCCUGAACCAGCCAUGCCGCGUGCAGGACGACGGCCCUCUGGGUUGUAAACUGCUUUUAUGUGGGGAUAAUGUGGUUCUAUACGAAUCAUUGCAGGUACUUCAGGAAUAAGCACCGGCUAACUCCGUGCCAGCAGCCGCGGUAAUACGGAAGGUGCAAGCGUUGUCCGGAUUUAUUGGGAUUAAAGGGUGCGUAGGCGGUAUUCUAAGUCAGUGGUGAAAGCGUCCGGCUUAACCGGAUACCCGCCAUUGAUACUGGGGAACUUGAGUACGUCUGAGGAGAUUAGAAUGCGUGGUGUAGCGGUGAAAUGCAUAGAUAUUACGCAGAACACCAAUUGCGAAGGCAGAUCUCUGGGACAUAACUGACGCUGAGGCACGAAAGCGUGGGGAGCGAACAGGAUUAGAUACCCUGGUAGUCCACGCUGUAAACGAUGAUUACUAGAUGUUCGGACUUCGGUCUGAGUGUCCAAGCGAAAGCGAUAAGUAAUCCACCUGGGGAGUACGUUCGCAAGAAUGAAACUCAAAGGAAUUGACGGGGGCCCGCACAAGCGGAGGAACAUGUGGUUUAAUUCGAUGAUACGCGAGGAACCUUACCUGGACUUAAAUGUAGAUGCAUGAUCGGGAAACUGAUCUUUCCUUCGGGACGAAUUACAAGGUGCUGCAUGGUUGUCGUCAGCUCGUGCCGUGAGGUGUCGGGUUAAGUCCCAUAACGAGCGCAACCCCUAUCGUUAGUUGCCAUCAGGUCAUGCUGGGGACUCUAACGAGACUGCCUCCGCAAGGAGUGAGGAAGGCGGGGUCGACGUCAAAUCAUCAUGGCCCUUACGCCCAGGGCGACACACGUGCUACAAUGGUCGGUACAGCGAGUAGCAAGCCUGCGAAGGUGAGCCAAUCUCUAAAAGCCGAUCUCAGUUCGGAUUGAAGUCUGCAACUCGACUUCAUGAAGUUGGAAUCGCUAGUAAUCGCGGAUCAGCCAUGCCGCGGUGAAUACGUUCCCGGGCCUUGUACACACCGCCCGUCAAGCCAUGGAAGCCGAGGGUACCUGAAGUCGG
This 1370-nucleotide ribosomal RNA is filed under the name uncultured prokaryote. RNAcentral's name for it is "partial 16S ribosomal RNA". It matches the Rfam family "Bacterial small subunit ribosomal RNA", at positions 56 to 1430 of the family's 1533-position model. The record is from RNAcentral.